AGAGUUUGAUCCUGGCUCAGGAUGAACGCUAGCUACAGGCUUAACACAUGCAAGUCGAGGGGAAACGACAGUAAAGCUUGCUUUAUUGGGCGUCGACCGGCGCACGGGUGCGUAACGCGUAUCCAACCUGCCCCCAACUCCGGAAUAGUCCCCCGAAAGGGGGGUUAACGCCGGAUGCUGCAGCUGCUCCGCAUGGUGAAGUUGCGAAAUGGAUAAGGUUGGGGCUGGGGAUGCGUCCCAUUAGGUAGUAGGCGGGGUAACGGCCCACCUAGCCGACGAUGGAUAGGGGUUCUGAGAGGAAGGUCCCCCACAUUGGAACUGAGACACGGUCCAAACUCCUACGGGAGGCAGCAGUGAGGAAUAUUGGUCAAUGGGCGCAGGCCUGAACCAGCCAAGUAGCGUGAAGGAUGACUGCCCUAUGGGUUGUAAACUUCUUUUAUAUGGGAAUAAAGUUUUCCACGUGUAGAAUUUUGUAUGUACCAUAUGAAUAAGGAUCGGCUAACUCCGUGCCAGCAGCCGCGGUAAUACGGAGGAUCCGAGCGUUAUCCGGAUUUAUUGGGUUUAAAGGGAGCGUAGGUGGACAGUUAAGUCAGUUGUGAAAGUGUGCGGCUCAACCGUAAAAUUGCAGUUGAUACUGGCUGUCUUGAGUACAGUAGAGGUGGGCGGAAUUCGUGGUGUAGCGGUGAAAUGCUUAGAUAUCACGAAGAACUCCGAUUGCGAAGGCAGCUCACUGGACUGCAACUGACACUGAUGCUCGAAAGUGUGGGUAUCAAACAGGAUUAGAUACCCUGGUAGUCCACACAGUAAACGAUGAAUACUCGCUGUUUGCGAUAUACAGUAAGCGGCCAAGCGAAAGCAUUAAGUAUUCCACCUGGGGAGUACGCCGGCAACGGUGAAACUCAAAGGAAUUGACGGGGGCCCGCACAAGCGGAGGAACAUGUGGUUUAAUUCGAUGAUACGCGAGGAACCUUACCCGGGCUUAAAUUGCAUUUGAAUAAUCUGGAAACAGGUUAGCCGCAAGGCAAAUGUGAAGGUGCUGCAUGGUUGUCGUCAGCUCGUGCCGUGAGGUGUCGGCUUAAGUGCCAUAACGAGCGCAACCCUUAUCUUUAGUUACUAACAGGUCAUGCUGAGGACUCUAGAGAGACUGCCGUCGUAAGAUGUGAGGAAGGUGGGGAUGACGUCAAAUCAGCACGGCCCUUACGUCCGGGGCUACACACGUGUUACAAUGGGGGGUACAGAAGGCAGCUACCUGGUGACAGGAUGCUAAUCCCAAAAGCCUCUCUCAGUUCGGAUCGAAGUCUGCAACCCGACUUCGUGAAGCUGGAUUCGCUAGUAAUCGCGCAUCAGCCAUGGCGCGGUGAAUACGUUCCCGGGCCUUGCACACACCGCCCGUCAAG
Molecule: ribosomal RNA, 1397 nt
Filed under: uncultured bacterium
Lineage: Bacteria
Description: bacterial SSU rRNA
Rfam family: Bacterial small subunit ribosomal RNA
Source: RNAcentral